Molecule: ribosomal RNA, 502 nt
Filed under: uncultured Alcaligenaceae bacterium
Lineage: Bacteria; Pseudomonadati; Pseudomonadota; Betaproteobacteria; Burkholderiales; Alcaligenaceae
Description: bacterial SSU rRNA
Rfam family: Bacterial small subunit ribosomal RNA
Source: RNAcentral
GAGUUUGAUCCUGGCUCAGAUUGAACGCUAGCGGAAUGCCUUACACAUGCAAGUCGAACGGCAGCACGGACUUCGGUCUGGUGGCGAGUGGCGAACGGGUGAGUAAUGUAUCGGAACGUACCCAGUAGCGGGGGAUAACUACUCGAAAGAGUAGCUAAUACCGCAUACGCCCUACGGGGAAACGGGGGGAUCUUCGGACCUCCCACUAUUGGAGCGGCUGAUAUCGGAUUAGCUAGUUGGUGAGGUAAAGGCUCACCAAGGCGACGAUCCGUAGCUGGUUUGAGAGGACGACCAGCCACACUGGGACUGAGACACGGCCCAGACUCCUACGGGAGGCAGCAGUGGGGAAUUUUGGACAAUGGGGGAAACCCUGAUCCAGCCAUUCCGCGUGUGUGAAGAAGGCCUUCGGGUUGUAAAGCACUUUUGGCGGGAAAGAAACGGCGUCGACUAAUACUCGGCGUAACUGACGGUACCCGCAGAAUAAGCACCGGCUAACUACGUG